Molecule: long non-coding RNA, 314 nt
Organism: Clupea harengus (Atlantic herring)
Lineage: Eukaryota; Metazoa; Chordata; Actinopteri; Clupeiformes; Clupeidae
Exons: 3
Source: RefSeq, a predicted model, not a curated record
UAUUACAGAUGACUGCAGAAGUUUCCAGACAUGCAUAGCAGCUGAGGAGUGUCUGUGUUUCGACUGCAGUAAGUGCUUCAUCAUGUCACCGCAAGUCAGCAAAGGAGAGGGGACGGAAAUGACAAAGGCUACAUCAGUCGUGCCACAAUCGCACGGCCCAUAUUCAUUCGAUUGCACACGCUCUUUGACACUGGCAUUUCUCAGUGAUUUUCCAGGUCCAUACAACCAGAAAAGUAACCUUCUUUUUAUCCAUGCUGGUGGUUUGUUCCUCAGUGCCUGAUGGAGAAAUUCUAACAUCAGACCCCCCUGGCCCA